Molecule: ribosomal RNA, 428 nt
Filed under: uncultured bacterium
Lineage: Bacteria
Description: bacterial SSU rRNA
Rfam family: Bacterial small subunit ribosomal RNA
Source: RNAcentral
UCGAGAAUUUUUCACAAUGGGCGCAAGCCUGAUGGAGCGACGCCGCGUGGGGGAUGAAGGGUUUCGAUCCGUAAACCCCUGUCAUUUGCGAACAAACCUUAACCGAUAACACCGGUUGAGCUGAUUGUAGCGGAAGAGGAAGGGACGGCUAACUCUGUGCCAGCAGCCGCGGUAAUACAGAGGUCCCAAGCGUUGUUCGGAUUCACUGGGCGUAAAGGGUGCGUAGGUGGCCGGGUAAGUUCGAUGUGAAAGCUCGGAGCUCAACUCCGAAAUGGCAUUGAAUACUAUCCGGCUCGAGGGUCGGAGGGGAGACUGGAAUUCUCGGUGUAGCAGUGAAAUGCGUAGAUAUCGAGAGGAACACCAGUGGCGAAGGCGAGUCUCUGGACGACUCCUGACACUGAGGCACGAAAGCUAGGGGAGCAAACAGG